Molecule: long non-coding RNA, 223 nt
Filed under: Capsicum annuum
Lineage: Eukaryota; Viridiplantae; Streptophyta; Magnoliopsida; Solanales; Solanaceae
Description: long non-coding RNA (CANN_LNC015305)
Source: RNAcentral
UGCAGAAUUCAUAAAAUCAUGCCUAGCCUUUUUAAUGACCUGGUCAUAUAAUAAAUUAGGGUCCUACAAGUCGUCUAUGAGACCUGUCUUAGCCCCGGCUGUUAGUACCUCUUCAUCAUCCUCCACAAGAAAAUCAAACUAUCUCAAUAUACAUGAAAGUGAUAUCUGCACUCAGUGUGGCCUCAUAUCGAGCUUGUACCUGCUCAAAUCUAGUCCUAACCCC